RNAcentral lists this ribosomal RNA (549 nucleotides) under Trichoderma virens. RNAcentral describes it as "eukaryotic LSU rRNA". The stretch from base 165 to 318 matches the Rfam family "5.8S ribosomal RNA". Lineage: Eukaryota; Fungi; Ascomycota; Sordariomycetes; Hypocreales; Hypocreaceae. The record is from RNAcentral.
CCAAACUGUUGCCUCGGCGGGAUCUCUGCCCCGGGUGCGUCGCAGCCCCGGACCAAGGCGCCCGCCGGAGGACCAACCAAAACUCUUAUUGUAUACCCCCUCGCGGGUUUUUUACUAUCUGAGCCAUCUCGGCGCCCCUCGUGGGCGUUUCGAAAAUGAAUCAAAACUUUCAACAACGGAUCUCUUGGUUCUGGCAUCGAUGAAGAACGCAGCGAAAUGCGAUAAGUAAUGUGAAUUGCAGAAUUCAGUGAAUCAUCGAAUCUUUGAACGCACAUUGCGCCCGCCAGUAUUCUGGCGGGCAUGCCUGUCCGAGCGUCAUUUCAACCCUCGAACCCCUCCGGGGGGUCGGCGUUGGGGAUCGGCCCUUUACGGGGCCGGCCCCGAAAUACAGUGGCGGUCUCGCCGCAGCCUCUCCUGCGCAGUAGUUUGCACACUCGCAUCGGGAGCGCGGCGCGUCCACAGCCGUUAAACACCCCAAACUUCUGAAAUGUUGACCUCGGAUCAGGUAGGAAUACCCGCUGAACUUAAGCAUAUCAAUAAGCGGAGGAA